AUGCAGUCGAGGGGUAACAUGGUAGCAAUACUGAUGACGACCGGCAAACGGGUGCGGAACACGUACAGAACCUUCCUUUAAGCGGGGGAUAGCCCGGAGAAAUCCGGAUUAAUACCCCAUAGUAAUAUUGGUUGGCAUCAAUUAAUAUUUAAAGAUUUAUCACUUAAAGAUGGCUGUGCGGCUGAUUAGGUAGUUGGUGCGGGUAACGGCCCACCAAGCCUGCGAUCAGUAACUGGUGUGAGAGCACGACCAGUCACACGGGCACUGAGACACGGGCCCGACUCCUACGGGAGGCAGCAGUAAGGAAUAUUGGUCAAUGGACGCAAGUCUGAACCAGCCAUGCCGCGUGAAGGAUGAAGGCCCUCUGGGUUGUAAACUUCUUUUAUCUGGGAAGAAAUGCAUCUUUUCUAAGGUGUUUGACGGUACCAGAGGAAUAAGCACCGGCUAACUCCGUGCCAGCAGCCGCGGUAAUACGGAGGGUGCAAGCGUUAUCCGGGUUCACUGGGUUUAAAGGGUGCGUAGGUGGGUUGGUAAGUCAGUGGUGAAAUCUCCGUGCUUAACAUGGAAACUGCCAUUGAUACUACUGGUCUUGAAUUUUCAGAAGGUAAGCGGAAUAUGUCAUGUAGCGGUGAAAUGCUUAGAUAUGACAUAGAACACCAAUUGCGAAGGCAGCUUACUGCNNAACAUUGACACUGAGGCACGAAAGCGUGGGGGAUCAAACAGGAUUAGAUACCCUGGUAGUCCACGCCCUAAACGAUGGAUACUCGACAUUUGUGAUACACAAUAAGUGUCUGAGCGAAAGCAUUAA
This 808-nucleotide ribosomal RNA is filed under the name uncultured bacterium. Its description in RNAcentral is "bacterial SSU rRNA". It matches the Rfam family "Bacterial small subunit ribosomal RNA", at positions 55 to 863 of the family's 1533-position model. The record is from RNAcentral.